RNAcentral lists this transfer RNA (60 nucleotides) under Gammarus nipponensis. Its description in RNAcentral is "tRNA-Trp". Lineage: Eukaryota; Metazoa; Arthropoda; Malacostraca; Amphipoda; Gammaridae. The record is from RNAcentral.
UAAGUUUUAAGUUAUACAAACUGUGAGCCUUCAAAGUUCUUAAAGAGCAAUUUCAGACUU